This 207-nucleotide ribosomal RNA is filed under the name uncultured bacterium. Its description in RNAcentral is "partial 16S ribosomal RNA". It matches the Rfam family "Bacterial small subunit ribosomal RNA", at positions 568 to 774 of the family's 1533-position model. The record is from RNAcentral.
CGUGUAGGCGGCCGAUCAAGUCGGAUGUGAAAUCUCUCGGCUCAACCGAGAAACUGCAUUCGAUACUGGUCAGCUAGAGUGCGAGAGGGGCGAGUGGAACUCCAGGUGUAGCGGUGAAAUGCGUAGAUAUCUGGAGGAACGCCGGUGGCGAAAGCGACUCACUGGCUCGCAACUGACGCUGAGGCGCGAAAGCUAGGGGAGCGAACG